Molecule: ribosomal RNA, 110 nt
Filed under: Saimiri boliviensis boliviensis (Bolivian squirrel monkey)
Lineage: Eukaryota; Metazoa; Chordata; Mammalia; Primates; Cebidae
Source: RNAcentral
GUCUACAGCCGUACCACCAUGAACAUGUCCAGUCUUGUCUGAUCUCAGAAACUAAGCAGGGUUGAGCCUGGUUCGUAUGUGGAUGGGAGAAACCUAUGUACCUGUUGACA